UACACAAAUAUGAAGGCGGGCUGGAACCUCUCGGGGUUACAGCCUUGCUGAAUUAUUCACCCUUGUCUUUUGCGUACUUCUUGUUUCCUUGGUGGGUUCGCCCACCACUAGGACAAACAUAAACCUUUUGUAAUUGCAAUCAGCGUCAGUAACAAAUUAAUAAUUACAACUUUCAACAACGGAUCUCUUGGUUCUGGCAUCGAUGAAGAACGCAGCGAAAUGCGAUAAGUAGUGUGAAUUGCAGAAUUCAGUGAAUCAUCGAAUCUUUGAACGCACAUUGCGCCCUUUGGUAUUCCAAAGGGCAUGCCUGUUCGAGCGUCAUUUGUACCCUCAAGCUUUGCUUGGUGUUGGGCGUCUUGUCUCUAGCUUUGCUGGAGACUCGCCUUAAAGUAAUUGGCAGCCGGCCUACUGGUUUCGGAGCGCAGCACAAGUCGCACUCUCUAUCAGCAAAGGUCUAGCAUCCAUUAAGCCUUUUUUUCAACUUUUGACCUCGGAUCAGGUAGGGAUACCCGCU
Molecule: ribosomal RNA, 514 nt
Filed under: uncultured Alternaria
Lineage: Eukaryota; Fungi; Ascomycota; Dothideomycetes; Pleosporales; Pleosporaceae
Description: eukaryotic LSU rRNA
Rfam family: 5.8S ribosomal RNA (bases 168-321)
Source: RNAcentral